AUCCAGAUAACGAGUCCCAAAUAGGAGGAAAUGCGCAUCCUGGAU
RNAcentral lists this non-coding RNA (45 nucleotides) under Trichobilharzia regenti. The record is from RNAcentral. Lineage: Eukaryota; Metazoa; Platyhelminthes; Trematoda; Strigeidida; Schistosomatidae.